CCCCGAGAUAUUUUCCGUAUGCAAGGUGACCGUAGGGUGACCCAUCUCGUAAAAAUCCGGUGACCACAAUACGCAUGGAUGUCCUUAAAAUAAACUAUUAUCUGAAUUUACAUGUUAAACACGUGCUCAAUUUCCAUGCUUUUUUGUUUAUUUUUCGUCAAUUGUUGACAAACAGGUGACAAUCGUUAAACUUCGGCUUCAAGACACGAACUUUAAUUACCUGCCAUAUUUUCACAACAACACUGACCGAUUGAAAAAAAAAUUGACAAUUAUACGAAAUUUACACGAAAAAAAUGAUAAAUUCGAGCACAGAAGACUAAGUUUAUGAUGUUUGUAUGCAUUGGUUCAAGAAUUGGAAGAACAUUAUUUUUCACCGGUCACUCGUUUCUUAUGACUUUAA
Molecule: long non-coding RNA, 400 nt
Filed under: Mytilus galloprovincialis (Mediterranean mussel)
Lineage: Eukaryota; Metazoa; Mollusca; Bivalvia; Mytilida; Mytilidae
Source: RNAcentral